RNAcentral lists this ribosomal RNA (440 nucleotides) under uncultured bacterium. Its description in RNAcentral is "bacterial SSU rRNA". It matches the Rfam family "Bacterial small subunit ribosomal RNA", at positions 28 to 507 of the family's 1533-position model. The record is from RNAcentral.
GAUGAACGCUGGCGGUAUGCCUAACACAUGCAAGUCGUACGAGAGUUUUUAACUCUAGUGGCGGACGGGUGAGUAACACGUGAGAAUUUGCCUUUAGGAGGGGGACAACAAUUGGAAACGAAUGCUAAUACCCCAUAUGCUUUCGAGUGAAAUGGAUUUUAUCCGCCUAGAGAGAAGCUCGCGGCUGAUUAGCUUGUUGGUAAGGUAAGAGCUUACCAAGGCGACGAUCAGUAUCUGGUUUGAGAGGACGAUCAGACACACUGGAACUGAGACACGGUCCAGACUCCUACGGGAGGCAGCAGUGGGGAAUUUUCCGCAAUGGGCGAAAGCCUGACGGAGCAAGACCGCGUGGGGGGAGGAAGGGUUCUUGGAUUGUAAACCCCUUUUCUCUGGGAGAAAAAAUGACGGUACCAGAGGAAUAAGCAUCGGCUAACUCCGUG